This is an RNA transcript of Polistes dominula (European paper wasp), 1252 nucleotides long. It is a transcript of the gene named Replication protein A2, with no coding region annotated. NCBI's taxonomy places the organism in Eukaryota, Metazoa, Arthropoda, Insecta, Hymenoptera, Vespidae. The record is from RefSeq and is a predicted model, not a curated record.
UAUUUUUAUAAAAAUAGUGUAUAAUAAUAAUACAAUAACCGCAAACAUGGAUACAAGUAUGGAUAAUAGCAAGGGUGGUUUUCUAAACGACACACUAUCGGUUUCUGGCGAAAAGAAUUUGAAAAGAGUACAAAAUGUUAUUCCUGUAAUGAUAGGACAAAUAUUACGUUCUUCUGGCGAUUUUGAAAUUUGGGGAGUUCCAGCACGUAUGAUUACAAUUCUUGGCAUACUACGCAACGUUAAUGAAUCUACAACUAAGAUCACAUAUGAAAUUGAAGAUGAAACAGGUGCAAUCACAGCUGUUCGAUGGUUAGAAGCAAAUAAAGUAAUGCCAGAGCCAUCGUUGGAAAUAAAUAGUUAUGUCAGAGUAGUUGGUCUUCUGCGUGAACAGAAUGGAACUAAGCAAAUUUUUGUAUUGCGUAUAUCACCUCUUGAAGAACUCAACGAGUUAACCAAUCACUUGUUAGAAGUCACUUAUGUAACGUUAAAAGCGGAACAAUUAUUUAAAGGAAAAGAUUCAAAUAAUGCUCCUUUUAAUGAUGAUGAUGAUUCGAAAAUUGCUAAUGAUUGCUCUGGCAUGAGUCCAGAACAAGCUGCAAUAUUUAAUAUAAUACAAGCUGAUACCAGUGAUUCUGGAAUUGAAAGAAGUGUAGUGAGAGCUCGUACACCUUCACAUAUUUUACGUGAUGUUGAUAAUAUCAUCCAUUUUCUAAUAUCCGAAGGUCAUAUUUAUACCACAUGUACAGAUGACCACUUUAAAGCAACUUAAUUUGUGGAUUUAAUAAUAAUUAUUUUUAUAUACAUACUCUGAUAUAAAAGAUGUUAAAUAUAAAUGAGAAUAUUUGAAUACGAUAUUUUUGGCGCUCUUGUUCUGCGCAUUUCGACGCGCAUCGAUGACAUUAAGUCCCUAGAACACGUCGUAAAUCGAUUAUCGCAAAUAGUGAUAUCGAUAGAUAGUUUCUAACAAUACACAAUAGUUCGAUUUAGAGACGAAAAUACCAGCAGUAUACAAAACACGUUAUUUUAAUCUGUGCAUCGUAAUUCGAAUUAUAAAUCGGAUAUCAUAACGCGGUAAUUGUUUUAUCAAAUUUUUAUGUAUUGUUAUACAUAUAUAACGUGAAAUUUGUGAUAAUUUAUAAAAAAUUUAUCGAUAUAAACGACUGUUUUACAAAUUUAUAAGUUAAAUUCGUGGUUAAACAUUACAGACAGUUUAUACUAAUUUUGAGGUUAGACAAGAGAUUCCUUAAAUGUA